UACGUAGGCAGCAAGCGUUGUUCGGAGUUACUGGGCGUAAAGGGUGUGUAGGCGGUUCUUUAAGUUUGGUGUGAAAUCUCCCGGCUCAACCGGGAGGGUGCGCCGAAUACUGAGGGACUAGAGUGCGGGAGAGGAAAGUGGAAUUCCUGGUGUAGUGGUGAAAUGCGUAGAUAUCAGGAGGAACACCGGUGGUGUAGACGGCUUUCUGGACCGUAACUGACGCUGAAACACGAAAGCGUGGGUAGCAAACAGG
RNAcentral lists this ribosomal RNA (253 nucleotides) under uncultured bacterium. RNAcentral describes it as "partial 16S ribosomal RNA". It matches the Rfam family "Bacterial small subunit ribosomal RNA", at positions 524 to 776 of the family's 1533-position model. The record is from RNAcentral.